AACCAACAGGGAUUGCCUCAGUAACGGCGAGUGAAGCGGCAACAGCUCAAAUUUGAAAUCUGGCGCCUUCGGCGUCCGAGUUGUAAUUUGUAGAGGAUGCUAUUGGGUUGCCACCGGUCUAAGUUCCUUGGAACAGGACGUCACAGAGGGUGAGAAUCCCGUAUGUGACCGGCCAGGCGCCUUCUGUAUAGCUCCUUCGACGAGUCGGGUUGUUUGGGAAUGCAGCCCUAAAUGGGAGGUAAAUUUCUUCUAAAGCUAAAUACCGGCCAGAGACCGAUAGCGCACAAGUAGAGUGAUCGAAAGAUGAAAAGCACUUUGGAAAGAGAGUUAAAAAGCACGUGAAAUUGUUGAAAGGGAAGCGCUUGCAAUCAGUCUCGACGGCGGCUGUUCGGCCUCUCUUCUGAGUGGUUUAUUCAGUCGCCGCCGGGCCAGCAUCAGUUUUGGCGGUCGGAUAAAGGCGUGGGGAAUGUAGCUCCUCCGGGAGUGUUAUAGCCCCGCGUGCAAUACGGCCCGCCGGGACUGAGGUCCGCGCUUCGGCUAGGAUGCUGGCGAAAUGGUUGUAAGCGGCCCGUCUUGAAACACGGACCAAGGAGUCUAACAUCUACGCGAGUGUUUGGGUGUCAAACCCGUGCGCGCAAUGAAAGUGAACGGAGGUGGGAACCGCAAGGUGCACCAUCGACCGAUCCUGAUGUCUUCGGAUGGAUUUGAGUAAGAGCGUAGCUGUUGGGACCCGAAAGAUGGUGAACUAUGCCUGAAUAGGGUGAAGCCAGAGGAAACUCUGGUGGAGGCUCGCAGCGGUUCUGACGUGCAAAUCGAUCGUCAAAUUUGGGUAUAGGGGCGAAAGACUAAUCGAACCAU
This 858-nucleotide ribosomal RNA is filed under the name Elsinoe mimosae. RNAcentral's name for it is "LSU rRNA". It matches the Rfam family "Eukaryotic large subunit ribosomal RNA", at positions 63 to 943 of the family's 3401-position model. The record is from RNAcentral. RNAcentral also lists the same sequence under 1 other name. Lineage: Eukaryota; Fungi; Ascomycota; Dothideomycetes; Myriangiales; Elsinoaceae.